This 46-nucleotide non-coding RNA is filed under the name Schistosoma bovis. RNAcentral also lists the same sequence under 1 other name. The record is from RNAcentral. Lineage: Eukaryota; Metazoa; Platyhelminthes; Trematoda; Strigeidida; Schistosomatidae.
AUCCGGCUGACGAGUCCCGAAUAGGGACGAAACGCGCGUCCUGAAU